GGGCCCGCACAAGCGGUGGAGUAUGUGGUUUAAUUCGAUGCAACGCGAAGAACCUUACCAGGGUUUGACAUCCUGCGAAUCUCUUGGAAACAGGAGAGUGCCUUCGGGAACGCAGUGACAGGUGGUGCAUGGCUGUCGUCAGCUCGUGUCGUGAGAUGUUGGGUUAAGUCCCGCAACGAGCGCAACCCACGUCUUUAGUUGCCAGCAUUUAGUUGGGCACUCUAGAGAGACUGCCGGUGAUAAACCGGAGGAAGGUGUGGAUGACGUCAAGUCAUCAUGCCCCUUACGGGUUGGGCUACACACGUGCUACAAUGGUAGUGACAAUGGGUUAAUCCCAAAAAGCUAUCUCAGUUCGGAUUGUCGUCUGCAACUCGACUCCGUGAAGUCGGAAUCGCUAGUAAUCG
This 404-nucleotide ribosomal RNA is filed under the name uncultured bacterium. Its description in RNAcentral is "bacterial SSU rRNA". It matches the Rfam family "Bacterial small subunit ribosomal RNA", at positions 917 to 1344 of the family's 1533-position model. The record is from RNAcentral.